RNAcentral lists this ribosomal RNA (270 nucleotides) under uncultured bacterium. RNAcentral describes it as "partial 16S ribosomal RNA". It matches the Rfam family "Bacterial small subunit ribosomal RNA", at positions 29 to 300 of the family's 1533-position model. The record is from RNAcentral.
AUUGAACGCUGGCGGCAUGCCUUACACAUGCAAGUCGAGCGGCAGCGCGGGGGCAACCCUGGCGGCGAGCGGCGAACGGGUGAGUAAUGCAUCGGAACGUGUCCUCUUGUGGGGGAUAACCAGUCGAAAGACUGGCUAAUACCGCAUGAGAUCGAAAGAUGAAAGCGGGGGACCGCAAGGCCUCGCGCGAGAGGAGCGGCCGAUGCCCGAUUAGCUAGUUGGCGGGGUAAUGGCCCACCAAGGCGACGAUCGGUAGCUGGUAUGAGAGUA